Molecule: non-coding RNA, 92 nt
Filed under: unclassified sequences
Description: RT-18 RNA
Rfam family: RT-18 RNA
About the family: Clostridiales (Firmicutes). Nearby to self-splicing intron genes
Source: Rfam by way of RNAcentral
CACCCCUUGGUGCAGAUAAGCCAUCAGGACACGGUUUAGUACACUCCCGCAACCUGCGGGGGGCGAUGGAAAGACCGUGAGGCUAAAAGGAG